UGGUGCAGUGGGUAAGCAUUUGGCUGCUAACCAAAAGGUGGUGGUUUGAACCCACC
This 56-nucleotide transfer RNA is filed under the name Loxodonta africana (African savanna elephant). It matches the Rfam family "tRNA", at positions 1 to 63 of the family's 71-position model. From Rfam's summary of the family: Transfer RNA (tRNA) molecules are approximately 80 nucleotides in length. Their secondary structure includes four short double-helical elements and three loops (D, anti-codon, and T loops). Further hydrogen bonds mediate the characteristic L-shaped molecular structure. tRNAs have two regions of fundamental functional importance: the anti-codon, which is responsible for specific mRNA codon recognition, and the 3' end, to which the tRNAs corresponding amino acid is attached (by aminoacyl-tRNA synthetases). tRNAs cope with the degeneracy of the genetic code in two manners: having more than one tRNA (with a specific anti-codon) for a particular amino acid; and 'wobble' base-pairing, i.e. permitting non-standard base-pairing at the 3rd anti-codon position. The record is from Rfam by way of RNAcentral. Lineage: Eukaryota; Metazoa; Chordata; Mammalia; Proboscidea; Elephantidae.